This 405-nucleotide ribosomal RNA is filed under the name uncultured bacterium. Its description in RNAcentral is "bacterial SSU rRNA". It matches the Rfam family "Bacterial small subunit ribosomal RNA", at positions 390 to 815 of the family's 1533-position model. The record is from RNAcentral.
AGCCAUGCCGCGUGAGUGACGAAGGCCUUAGGGUCGUAAAGCUCUUUCGCCAGGGAUGAUAAUGACAGUACCUGGCAAAGAAACCCCGGCUAACUCCGUGCCAGCAGCCGCGGUAAUACGGAGGGGGUUAGCGUUGUUCGGAAUUACUGGGCGUAAAGCGCGCGUAGCGGAUUGGAAAGUUGGGGGUGAAAUCCCGGGGCUCAACCCCGAACUGCCUCCAAAACCAUCAGUCUAGAGUUCGAGAGAGGUGAGUGGAAUUCCAAGUGUAGAGGUGAAAUUCGUAGAUAUUUGGAGGAACACCAGUGGCGAAGGGGCUCACUGGCUCGAUACUGACGCUGAGGUGCGAAAGUGUGGGGAGCAAACAGGAUUAGAUACCCUGGUAGUCCACACCGUAAACGAUGAAUG